RNAcentral lists this non-coding RNA (25 nucleotides) under Xenopus tropicalis (tropical clawed frog). RNAcentral also lists the same sequence under 2 other names. Lineage: Eukaryota; Metazoa; Chordata; Amphibia; Anura; Pipidae. The record is from RNAcentral.
UAUUGCAGUACCUCCAGGAACGGUG